RNAcentral lists this ribosomal RNA (1457 nucleotides) under metagenome. RNAcentral's name for it is "bacterial SSU rRNA". It matches the Rfam family "Bacterial small subunit ribosomal RNA". The record is from RNAcentral.
AGAGUUUGAUCCUGGCUCAGAUUGAACGCUGGCGGCAUGGCUAAAACAUGCAAGUCGAACGCGAAAGGGGAGCAAUCCCCAAGUAGAGUGGCGAAGGGGUGAGUAAUACAUUUCUACGUGCCCCGAGGUCAGGGAUAGCUCAGGGAAACCUGAAUUAAUACCUGAUGUGGUCUACGGAUCAAAGGCGCAAGUCGCCUCGGGAGCGGGGAAUGUCCUAUCAGCUAGUUGGUGAGGUAACGGCUCACCAAGGCUCUGACGGGUAGCGGGUGUGAGAGCAUGGCCCGCCACAUCGGGACUGAGACACUGCCCGGACUCCUACGGGAGGCUGCAGUAACGAAUCUUCCACAAUGCGCGAAAGCGUGAUGGAGCAAUGCCGCGUGCAGGAUGAAGCCCUUCGGGGUGUAAACUGCUGUCAGGUUUUAGGAACACAAUGACCAAAGCCAAAGGAAGAGACGACUAACUCUGUGCCAGCAGUCGCGGUAAUACAGAGGUCUCGAGCGUUAGUCGGAGUCACUGGGCUUAAAGCGUACGUAGGCGGACAUGCAGGCGUCGUGUGAAAUCCCUCGGCUCAACCGGGGAACUGCACGGCGAACCGCAUGUCUUGAGAAAGGUAGGGGCUGUCGGAACGGUAGGUGGAGUGGUGAAAUGCGUUGAUAUCUAUCGGAACGCCGAAGGUGAAGACAGGCAGCUGGGCCUUUUCUGACGCUGAGGUACGAAAGAGUGGGUAGCGAACGGGAUUAGAUACCCCGGUAGUCCACGCCGUAAACGAUGUGCACUAGAUCGUGGAAGGUCUGACCCUAUUCACGGUCGAAGUAAAAACGUUGAGUGCACCGCCUGGGGAGUACGGUCGCAAGGCUAAAACUCAAAGGAAUUGACGGGGGCUCACACAAGCGGUGGAGCAUGUGGCUCAAUUCGAAACAACGCGAAGAACCUUAUCCUGGGUUUGACAUGUAUGGAUUAGUUCCGUGAAAGCGGAAUGACACUCUUGUAGUGGAACGUACACAGGUGCUGCAUGGCUGUCGUCAGCUCGUGCUGUGAAGUGUCGGGUUAGGUCCCUUAACGAGCGAAACCCCUGUCGCUAGUUGCUACCAGGUAAUGCUGAGGACUCUAGUGAGACUGCCGGUGUUAAACCGGACGAAGGUGGGGAUGACGUCAAGUCCUCAUGGCCUUUAUGCCCAGGGCUGCACACGUGCUACAAUGGCGCAAACAGAACGAUGCAAGACCGCAAGGUGGAGCAGACCGCUUAAAUUGCGCCCCAGUUCGGAUUGUGGGCUGCAACCCGCCCACAUGAAGUCGGAAUCGCUAGUAAUCGCGGAUCAGCUACGCCGCGGUGAAUAAGUUCCUGAGCCUUGUACACACCGCCCGUCAAGUCAUGGAAGCUGGUAGCGCCUGAAGUCGCCGAAGUUCAUCGGUGCCCACGGCGAGACUGGUGACUGGGACUAAGUCGUAACAAGGUA